CAGGUCCUGGGCAGUCCUAUUCAGGGAUUUGUUUUCAUCACAUGCACUUGUUUUUCUCUAGUAAGUGCAAACAGAAAGAAGACAGUGACUGUAUUUUCUGCUUUGAUGACAGAAUAGGGCAGCUUAACCUGGUGGAGAUUUUUGCCUGAGUG
Oxyura jamaicensis (ruddy duck) is the source of this 152-nucleotide long non-coding RNA. RefSeq lists it as uncharacterized. The transcript has 3 exons. Lineage: Eukaryota; Metazoa; Chordata; Aves; Anseriformes; Anatidae. The record is from RefSeq and is a predicted model, not a curated record.